GGGCGCAGGCUGCGGGGUCGGCACGGAAGAUGCACGCGAGGCUCCUGGGGCUCUCGGCCCUGCUGCAGGCGGCCGAGCAGAGCGCGCGCCUUUACACCGUGGCUUACUACUUCACCACAGGACGGCUUCUGUGGGGGUGGCUGGCCCUUGCUGUCCUCCUGCCCGGGUUCUUGGUCCAGGCCCUGAGCUACCUGUGGUUCCGAGCAGACGGGCAUCCAGGGCAUUGCUCCUUGAUGAUGCUGCACCUCCUACAGCUUGGUGUUUGGAAGCGGCACUGGGACGCUGCACUGACCAGUCUGCAGAAGGAACUGGAGGCUCCCCACCGAGGCUGGCUGCAGCUGCAGGAGGCCGACCUGUCGGCCCUUCGACUCUUGGAGGCCCUGCUGCAGACUGGGCCCCACCUGCUGCUUCAGACAUAUGUUUUUCUAGCCUCAGACUUCACAGAUAUUGUGCCAGGUGCCCACUGGCUGGUGAUGACAUUCUGGCUUGUCGCCCAGCAGAGUGACAUCAUCGACAGCACCUGCCACUGGAGGCUGUUCAACCUGCUCGUGGGGGCCGUGUACAUCCUCUGCUACCUCAGCUUCUGGGACAGCCCUUCUAGAAAUAGGAUGGUCACGUUCUACAUGGUCAUGCUG
Molecule: long non-coding RNA, 635 nt
Filed under: Homo sapiens (human)
Lineage: Eukaryota; Metazoa; Chordata; Mammalia; Primates; Hominidae
Description: non-protein coding lnc-XKR5-1:3
Source: RNAcentral